Talpa occidentalis (Iberian mole) is the source of this 496-nucleotide long non-coding RNA. RefSeq lists it as uncharacterized. The record is from RefSeq and is a predicted model, not a curated record. Lineage: Eukaryota; Metazoa; Chordata; Mammalia; Eulipotyphla; Talpidae. The transcript is spliced from 3 exons.
UACGUAGACAAGAAUAAGAUUGAGAUUCAGUUCCACAGGUCUCAUUACUGAACUUGAUGGUUGAAAUCCCCAAACUAGGUUCUUUCUUCUUAUUAGGAAAUGAGGGGAUAAGAUAAGUAGUUAUAGAGGAAUAUACUGAGUUGAUAGGGGAAGUAAGUCACACCCCUGUGCCCAGUCUCUGCCCACAGGAGAAUAAGAUGACAGCUCUGUAGAAGCAUAGUAGACUUCAACUUUAAAAGAGGUAUUCUGUCUGUUUUGAGAACUGGCAACGGUAUAAUUUAGAUGAUCGACAGACCUGGUUGUGCAAUUUCAAACUGUAAAGUGAAUAGGAAUUAUCUGAGGAUCCUGUUAAAAUGCAGAUUGUGAUUCAGUGAGGGCCCAGCAGGAAAGGAACGGACAUUCAGAUUAAGUAAACAGGGGCUUUAUGUACAGUCACUAGACUGCCAAACAGACAACUUCUGCUUACAUGGAGCGUGAGGGUAAAGAAACAAUGUCA